GUCUAUGGCCACACCACUCUGAACACACCUGAUCUCAUCUGACUGUGGAAGUUAAGCAGGGUUGGGCCUGGUUAGUACUUGGAUGGAAGAUGGCCUGGGAAUACCAAGUGCUGUAGGCU
Molecule: ribosomal RNA, 119 nt
Filed under: Sphenodon punctatus (tuatara)
Lineage: Eukaryota; Metazoa; Chordata; Lepidosauria; Sphenodontia; Sphenodontidae
Source: RNAcentral